This is a ribosomal RNA of Sinocyclocheilus anshuiensis, 42 nucleotides long. NCBI's taxonomy places the organism in Eukaryota, Metazoa, Chordata, Actinopteri, Cypriniformes, Cyprinidae. The record is from Ensembl.
CCUGGUUAGUACUUGGAUGGUAGACCGCCUAGGAAUACUAGG